AAACGAUGCCAACCAGCAAUCCGCCUGAGUUCCUUAAAUGACUCGGCGGGCGGCUUCCGGGAAACCAAAGUUUUUCGGUUCCGGGGGAAGUAUGGUUGCAAAGCUGAAACUUAAAGGAAUUGACGGAAGGGCACCACCAGGAGUGGAGCCUGCGGCUUAAUUUGACUCAACACGGGAAAACUUACCCGGCCCGGACACUGGAAGGAUUGACAGAUUGAGAGCUCUUUCUUGAUUCAGUGGGUGGUGGUGCAUGGCCGUUCUUAGUUGGUGGAGCGAUUUGUCUGGUUAAUUCCGAUAACGAACGAGACUCUAGCCUACUAAAUAGACCAGAGGCUUCUUAAAACACGUCUCUGGCUGCUUCUUAGAGGGACAGGCGGCGGUUCAGCCGCACGAAACAGAGCAAUAACAGGUCUGUGAUGCCCUUAGAUGUCCGGGGCUGCACGCGCGCUACACUGAAGUGAUCAGCGUGCAAUUUACGUUUGGUGAUCUGUCAAGAUUGCCCAACCCGUUGAACCUUCUUCGUGAUUGGGAUAGGGGAUUGUAAUUAUUCCCCUUGAACGAGGAAUUCCCAGUAAGCGCAAGUCAUAAGCUUGCGUUGAUUACGUCCCUGCCCUUUGUACACACCGCCCGUCGCUACUACUGAUUGAAU
This 649-nucleotide ribosomal RNA is filed under the name uncultured eukaryote. RNAcentral describes it as "SSU rRNA". It matches the Rfam family "Eukaryotic small subunit ribosomal RNA", at positions 1034 to 1694 of the family's 1831-position model. The record is from RNAcentral.